UGUCAUACACGUGAAUCAUUACUUCCCGCAAUUUCAAAAUUUAGGGAAAAAAUAAUAUGUCAAAAAAUUAAAACCUUAUUUUCGGCUUUUUCGCCCUCUCUCUCUCCUAACCCUAACCCUAACCCUAACCCAGAAAAAACCAGAGAAGAUGAAGUGUUGCACUCUCCGGCAACCUCCGCAGCAAGUACAACGUCCGAUUAAUGCCGUGCUCAAAGCCAACAAGGUCCAGGUUGUUUGUGUUCAAUUACUUUUGAUUCAGAUGCAAUGGAUUUAACUCUCGUUUUGGCUUUUCGCCCUCUCUCUUUCCUCUUCUUCAACCUCCGUCUUCUGCAAUUUCUACCGUCGUCGUAUUGAAAUCUAGGGUUUCUUUCUCCGGCAAUGGCGUUUGAGUAGGCUGUGAAGUUUCAGUUUGAUCAUUAGAUAAGGCUGUUGUUUGUCAAACUUUUAAUUAGGGUCGCUGUUCGUUUUUGAUUUUUAUUUUAUUUUUUCAUCUUUUGAAGUUGAUUUUUAGUUGAUUUUUGUGUUUGUUUUCGUACUUUUAAGGUUUGUUAUGUGUUGUUGAUAUUGAUAGCUAUUUCGAUCAAUGAAGAGGAUAAAUUUGGGCAGAAAUUAGCUGGAUCAACGUCAUAGGUCUAUGGAAGAAGAAAUGGAGCCUUUCAUGAAGAUGAAUUGAAACAGUAUGAUGGUACUGACCCUAAGAAGCCUUUGCUUAUGGCUAUUAAGGGCCAGAUCUAUGAUGUUUCUCAGAGCAGCCUUGUUCAGCAUCUGGAUUCGCACAGAUUGUAUGCUCUUACUGUACUUUUGCAGCAAAAGAAGGGGGAAAUAACGCUAUAACGCUCAGUUGAUAUGCAUUUGUUCAAAUGUCCGAACAUUGCAAGAUGUUCCCUCAUCUUAGAAGUUUCAAUGUGUAAAGGGUGAUAUGAUUCAAACAUUUCCCUUUGUUCUAUAUAUAUAGUUGCAAUGCAAUAUCUGAAAUAUGGAGUAGUGGAUUUGACAGAUGUCUUCAUUUGCCUAUAGUAUUCUUAUAGGAAUAUUUUUAUAGUUUAUUUCAAUUCCUAGAUAAUCAUUAAAAGUAGAUGAGAAGGGUGAUAUUUACAUCUAUUGGGUGGUUCUAUUGGAGCAGUACUAUUAUAUCUAUUUUGCAAGUAUUAUCUUGUUUAACUUCGAUACAAGAAAUAUUACACAAAUUAUAAUGUUAAUAGUAAAAAAUUAAAUAAACCCUAAUACUAAGUUGGCUGGAUAAAAACUGCUAUGCUUAAUUGCUAUGUACGUCUUAGCUUUUGUACUGCCACUUGAUGAUGCUCAUGACUUUUAUGUGCAAGCAGGUGAGGGGUGUUAAGCCAGGCAGAGUUCAUGUGUGAAGCUAGGGAUGGGGGCAGUCAGGGAUGGAAUAAAAGUGCAGUUUGGGGAUGAGUUAAGUGUGCAAGCAGGGGAAAGGUGUGUAGGCAGGGAGAGGGCACGUGUGCCACAAGGGGGGGAAGUGUGCAAGUAAGGGGGCAGGCGAGGAGGGGAGCAGUGUGCAGACAGACAAUGAGGUAGUGUGCAAGCAGGGUAGGGGGGCAGGUGUGUAGGCAGGGAGAGGGAAGGUUUACACUCAGGGAGAGGGAGGUUGGUUGUGAAAAUUCAGUUGGAUUUUAAAUUUCUUUUUAAAAGGAGUGGUGUCUGUGUGGUUUCAAUUCAUUUGUAUAUAUGACUAUUUGUAUUAUGUUAUAUACUUAUUUUUUUUUUUUU
This is a long non-coding RNA of Chenopodium quinoa (quinoa), 1731 nucleotides long. RefSeq lists it as uncharacterized. The transcript has 4 exons. The record is from RefSeq and is a predicted model, not a curated record. Lineage: Eukaryota; Viridiplantae; Streptophyta; Magnoliopsida; Caryophyllales; Amaranthaceae.